GCGGUGUCAUCACAGGCAUUACAAAACAUCGUGCAGUCUAACUAUUACGUCAGCGGUUAGCAGUACUACUAAUAUGUGACAUCAACUACAAAAAGAAAACUAAGUCAGUAUGAAAGUUGGGUCACGCUCGUCUUGCGUUAGCGCUGCCGAGGAACUAUUGGUGCUCGAUCACGUGGUAUGAAACAAGCAGUUUGAUUGAAAGAGACCGACCUCGGUGGUGUCGUGGUUAAGCCAUCGGACAUAAGGCUGAUUGUGUAAUCGAACGUUGAUCCGUUGGUGCAGAUGGACUAUAACAGAUGAUCGAUGAUGAAAUUUAACCGAUUUCCAACGCUAACAUAUACAUUAUAUGCAAUAAAUAUGUUUUCAAUCCAUCAACUCACCAGUGUCAUUGUAGCACAGGACGCCAGCAUAUAAAAUAUGUUUUCAAUCCAUCAACUCACCUGUGUCAUUGUAGCACAAAACGCCAGCA
Long non-coding RNA from Gigantopelta aegis, 469 nucleotides. RefSeq lists it as uncharacterized. NCBI's taxonomy places the organism in Eukaryota, Metazoa, Mollusca, Gastropoda, Neomphalida, Peltospiridae. The transcript is spliced from 3 exons. The record is from RefSeq and is a predicted model, not a curated record.